RNAcentral lists this ribosomal RNA (429 nucleotides) under Chloroflexota bacterium. RNAcentral's name for it is "Chloroflexi bacterium partial 16S ribosomal RNA". It matches the Rfam family "Bacterial small subunit ribosomal RNA", at positions 355 to 776 of the family's 1533-position model. Lineage: Bacteria; Bacillati; Chloroflexota. The record is from RNAcentral.
UGGGGAAUAUUGCACAAUGGGCGCAAGCCUGAUGCAGCCAUGCCGCGUGUAUGAAGAAGGCCUUCGGGUUGUAAAGUACUUUCAGUCGGGAGGAAGGUGGUAAGGUUAAUAACCUUGUCGAUUGACGUUACCCGCAGAAGAAGCACCGGCUAACUCCGUGCCAGCAGCCGCGGUAAUACGGAGGGUGCAAGCGUUAAUCGGAAUUACUGGGCGUAAAGCGCACGCAGGCGGUCUGUCAAGUCGGAUGUGAAAUCCCCGGGCUCAACCUGGGAACUGCAUUCGAAACUGGCAGGCUAGAGUCUUGUAGAGGGGGGUAGAAUUCCAGGUGUAGCGGUGAAAUGCGUAGAGAUCUGGAGGAAUACCGGUGGCGAAGGCGGCCCCCUGGACGAAGACUGACGCUCAGGUGCGAAAGCGUGGGGAGCAAACAGG